This 467-nucleotide long non-coding RNA is filed under the name Homo sapiens (human). RNAcentral's name for it is "HSALNT0309350". The record is from RNAcentral. Lineage: Eukaryota; Metazoa; Chordata; Mammalia; Primates; Hominidae.
AUCAGGUGAUGGUCAGGUGGUCGUUAAACUGCCUCUCUGAAAUAAUAGUUGGGUCACAGCUGGUGCCAGGGAAAGGUAGUCUCCCAAUAGAUAGAAACACCAGGAACGGAUGAUCAGCAGCUUCCAGAUAAGAUCUCAGGAAAUGGGCUCUUGUUCCAGAGGACUGAAUAGAUCUUCAAGUCCUUGCAUACUGUCAAGCAUUUACAUCAGGGCCCUCACUGCCUUGGAUGCACUUGGAGAAUUUUAGCUGCAACAGGAUGCAAAAAGUUCAAGCCAAGGGUACAGGCUACUAUAUGAAACUCUACCUACACCUGGAGGACACUCUCCACAUUUGCUACCUGAACCAAGAUAAAAACAAAGCAAGACACAAACCAACUUCUUGCUUAUACUUCUCAUGCACAUCUUGCAAUAUCUUCAUAGUAGGGGAUGAUCCAGGCUUCUUAAGGCCUGAUGUGCAUGCAAUGUGG